AUUGAACGCUGGCGGCAUGCCUUACACAUGCAAGUCGAACGGCAGCACGGGAGCAAUCCUGGUGGCGAGUGGCGAACGGGUGAGUAAAGUAUCGGAACGUGCCCAGUCGUGGGGGAUAACGUAGCGAAAGUUACGCUAAUACCGCAUACGAUCUAUGGAUGAAAGCGGGGGAUCGCAAGACCUCGCGCGAUUGGAGCGGCCGAUAUCAGAUUAGGGAGUUGGUGGGGUAAAGGCUCACCAAGCCGACGAUCUGUAGCUGGUCUGAGAGGACGACCAGCCACACUGGGACUGAGACACGGCCCAGACUCCUACGGGAGGCAGCAGUGGGGAAUUUUGGACAAUGGGCGAAAGCCUGAUCCAGCCAUGCCGCGUGCAGGAUGAAGGCCUUCGGGUUGUAAACUGCUUUUGUACGGAACGAAAAGGUUUGGCCUAAUAAGCUGAGCUCAUGACGGUACCGUAAGAAUAAGCACCGGCUAACUACGUGCCAGCAGCCGCAGUAA
Molecule: ribosomal RNA, 500 nt
Filed under: uncultured bacterium
Lineage: Bacteria
Description: partial 16S ribosomal RNA
Rfam family: Bacterial small subunit ribosomal RNA
Source: RNAcentral